GUGAGUUUUAACAAAGAGAUUUUGGGAGGGACCAUCCAGCCAAAGAGGUAGCGGAAAACAGGGUUAUUGCCAAAAGGAAUGAUAUCCUGGAGUUCCCAGAAAAUACUACGUGUAUGUCUGUGGUAAUAAUGUCUUGAGGGGAUGUAUUCAAUUCCAGUCUUAUUGGCUUUCAGAUACUUCUCGACGUGCUUGAAGAACCAUGGCUUGUAGUAGUUGCCAAUUCUGUUUAUCUUGCUCGGUUCAGCUUCAUCAGUCAAGACUCCCGUCAUGAUGACAGCUUCUUCCAACGAAUACACAAGUCCUUCCACAAAACUAUUCUCCUUGUUCUUAGACUCUUCAGUAAACUUCUCACAAAUAC
RNAcentral lists this long non-coding RNA (358 nucleotides) under Gallus gallus (chicken). The record is from RNAcentral. Lineage: Eukaryota; Metazoa; Chordata; Aves; Galliformes; Phasianidae.